CCGGUCUCAUUCCGAACCCGGAAGCUAAGCCCACCAGCGCCGAUGGUACUGCUCGGGAGACUGGGUGGGAGAGUAGGUCACCGCCGGCC
This 89-nucleotide ribosomal RNA is filed under the name Kineococcus rhizosphaerae. RNAcentral also lists the same sequence under 1 other name. The record is from RNAcentral. Lineage: Bacteria; Bacillati; Actinomycetota; Actinomycetes; Kineosporiales; Kineosporiaceae.